This 67-nucleotide transfer RNA is filed under the name Marmota monax (woodchuck). Its description in RNAcentral is "tRNA.Ala". Lineage: Eukaryota; Metazoa; Chordata; Mammalia; Rodentia; Sciuridae. The record is from RNAcentral.
GUUGUGGCUCAGUGGUAGAGUGCUCACCUAGCACCUGCUAGACCCUGGGUUUGAUCCUCAGCACACA